Syzygium oleosum is the source of this 309-nucleotide long non-coding RNA. RefSeq lists it as uncharacterized. Lineage: Eukaryota; Viridiplantae; Streptophyta; Magnoliopsida; Myrtales; Myrtaceae. The record is from RefSeq and is a predicted model, not a curated record. The transcript is spliced from 2 exons.
CUAGCAUUUUUCCCUAGAGCUUUACUUUGCUCUUCAAGGUAUUUUGAGUGGCGCAGCUUGAGGCGCCUCCUGAUCUUGCCGAUUUCACACGGAAAUUGGCAUCACCGAGUGAGUCACUCAUCCGAAGUUGAACAGCUUAAAUACGCACAUGUCUUAAAAUUCACCGCUAGUUUGGAGCUAAAUCUCUUCCAAUUGAUUUGAGAAGCUCUUUGGCUAAAUCUCUUGCUAUAGUGUCUUUCUUUGUGUAUGGAUUUGUAAACUGGUGUUUGGGAUGCAACACUCACCAAUGGAGAUGACUUCACAUUGGAC